CCCUUAGAUGUUCUGGGCCGCACGCGCGCUACACUGACGAAUGCAACGAGCUUAUAACCUUGGCCGAAAGGUCUGGGUAAUCUCCAAAUUUCGUCGUGAUGGGAAUAAAUUAUUGCAAUUAUUAAUCUUCAACGAGGAAUGCCUAGUAAGCGCAAGUCAUCAGCUUGCGUUGAUUACGUCCCUGCCCUUUGUACACACCGCCCGUCGCUCCUACCGAUUGAAUGGUCCGGUGAAGCGUUCGGACCGUGGCCUUUGGACGGUUCGCCGUCUGUUGGCUGCGGGAAGUUCGUUAAACCUUAUCAUUUAGAGGAAGGAGAAGUCGUAACA
This 327-nucleotide ribosomal RNA is filed under the name uncultured eukaryote. RNAcentral's name for it is "partial 18S ribosomal RNA". It matches the Rfam family "Eukaryotic small subunit ribosomal RNA", at positions 1470 to 1796 of the family's 1831-position model. The record is from RNAcentral.